Molecule: ribosomal RNA, 253 nt
Filed under: uncultured bacterium
Lineage: Bacteria
Description: partial 16S ribosomal RNA
Rfam family: Bacterial small subunit ribosomal RNA
Source: RNAcentral
UACAGAGGUGGCAAGCGUUGUUCGGAAUUACUGGGCGUAAAGGGCGCGUAGGUGGCCUUUUGAGUCAGACGUGAAAUCCCCCGGCUUAACCUGGGAACUGCGUCUGAUACUGGAAGGCUUGAGUUCGGGAGAGGGAUGUGGAAUUCCAGGUGUAGCGGUGAAAUGCGCAGAUAUCAGGAGGAACACCGAUGGCGAAGGCAGGUCCCUGGGCAUUAACUGACGCUGAGGAGCGAAAGCAUGGGGAGCGAACAGG